RNAcentral lists this ribosomal RNA (1440 nucleotides) under Weissella confusa. RNAcentral's name for it is "bacterial SSU rRNA". It matches the Rfam family "Bacterial small subunit ribosomal RNA". The record is from RNAcentral. Lineage: Bacteria; Bacillati; Bacillota; Bacilli; Lactobacillales; Lactobacillaceae.
UGCAAGUCGAACGCUUUGUGGUUCAACUGAUUUGAAGAGCUUGCUCAGAUAUGACGAUGGACAUUGCAAAGAGUGGCGAACGGGUGAGUAACACGUGGGAAACCUACCUCUUAGCAGGGGAUAACAUUUGGAAACAGAUGCUAAUACCGUAUAACAAUGACAACCGCAUGGUUGUUAUUUAAAAGAUGGUUCUGCUAUCACUAAGAGAUGGUCCCGCGGUGCAUUAGCUAGUUGGUAAGGUAAUGGCUUACCAAGGCGAUGAUGCAUAGCCGAGUUGAGAGACUGAUCGGCCACAAUGGGACUGAGACACGGCCCAUACUCCUACGGGAGGCAGCAGUAGGGAAUCUUCCACAAUGGGCGAAAGCCUGAUGGAGCAACGCCGCGUGUGUGAUGAAGGGUUUCGGCUCGUAAAACACUGUUGUAAGAGAAGAAUGACAUUGAGAGUAACUGUUCAAUGUGUGACGGUAUCUUACCAGAAAGGAACGGCUAAAUACGUGCCAGCAGCCGCGGUAAUACGUAUGUUCCAAGCGUUAUCCGGAUUUAUUGGGCGUAAAGCGAGCGCAGACGGUUAUUUAAGUCUGAAGUGAAAGCCCUCAGCUCAACUGAGGAAUUGCUUUGGAAACUGGAUGACUUGAGUGCAGUAGAGGAAAGUGGAACUCCAUGUGUAGCGGUGAAAUGCGUAGAUAUAUGGAAGAACACCAGUGGCGAAGGCGGCUUUCUGGACUGUAACUGACGUUGAGGCUCGAAAGUGUGGGUAGCAAACAGGAUUAGAUACCCUGGUAGUCCACACCGUAAACGAUGAGUGCUAGGUGUUUGAGGGUUUCCGCCCUUAAGUGCCGCAGCUAACGCAUUAAGCACUCCGCCUGGGGAGUACGACCGCAAGGUUGAAACUCAAAGGAAUUGACGGGGACCCGCACAAGCGGUGGAGCAUGUGGUUUAAUUCGAAGCAACGCGAAGAACCUUACCAGGUCUUGACAUCCCUUGACAACUCCAGAGAUGGAGCGUUCCCUUCGGGGACAAGGUGACAGGUGGUGCAUGGUUGUCGUCAGCUCGUGUCGUGAGAUGUUGGGUUAAGUCCCGCAACGAGCGCAACCCUUAUUACUAGUUGCCAGCAUUCAGUUGGGCACUCUAGUGAGACUGCCGGUGACAAACCGGAGGAAGGUGGGGAUGACGUCAAAUCAUCAUGCCCCUUAUGACCUGGGCUACACACGUGCUACAAUGGCGUAUACAACGAGUUGCCAACCCGCGAGGGUGAGCUAAUCUCUUAAAGUACGUCUCAGUUCGGAUUGUAGGCUGCAACUCGCCUACAUGAAGUCGGAAUCGCUAGUAAUCGCGGAUCAGCACGCCGCGGUGAAUACGUUCCCGGGUCUUGUACACACCGCCCGUCACACCAUGAGAGUUUGUAACACCCAAAGCCGGUGGGGUAACCUUCGGGAGCCA